Molecule: long non-coding RNA, 4039 nt
Organism: Nyctereutes procyonoides (raccoon dog)
Lineage: Eukaryota; Metazoa; Chordata; Mammalia; Carnivora; Canidae
Exons: 4
Source: RefSeq, a predicted model, not a curated record
UGAGCCUGUUGCAUUUAAAAAACAAAAGGGGGAGGAGGUAAGCAUGAAUUCUGUGUUCUGGAUGAUUCAUUCAGACCGUGUUUCCUGUGCCCCUCAAAACCAGUACUCUCAAACAAUCCAUAGUCUUCAGGAUUUCACUGAAUAUAGGGCCAGUCUUAACAUAACUGUUCAAAUCAAGUAUACCCUCCUUAGCGUGGCUUUAUCAUGCCAGCUGUCUAUUCACCCAUCCAGUACCCUUACCGAACAUUAGGGGCUCAAUUUAAAAGAAAAACUGAAUAAAAUCUCAGGGUUGUUUUUUUGUUUUAUUUUUGUUUCUGAUGUGCAUCUGGAGAUCUAUACAGGCACUCACUUGUGGCUUACUAAAUGUGUUCCAAUAAAAAUGAAGAAAGUACAGAGUUUAGAAAGUAAAAAUAUUUUUAAUAUAGCUAUUUAAAGAGAAGCACUGAGGACCUCAGCUUCAUUAGUCAGUCUUUUACCUAUUCCUUGGAACAAGAGCUCAGAACCCUUCGUUAUAUAUUUUUUUUGUUUAUUUCUUCAUGUAUUUGUUUUUUACACAAUUUUAAAAAUACUAAGCGUUGUUUUGUAAGUAAGGUCGUUACCAACUUGGGUGGGGGUAGGACUGUAGUUGCUCUUUAUAAAAUGGUAAAUGUCCAUUCAGGCAACCUUUUCAAAUCAAAUUCUAAUUUGUCUAGAAGUAUAGCUUGUCAGCAUUAUCUGAGGCACGAGCUUCCCAUUUGUACUGGUAUACAUAGCGUACAUUCAGAAUGUGUCUUUUUUGAUACUUUUCAUAAGCACAGGGGAAAACUGUAUUAGAAAAGGCUUCUGUGUGAGGAUUUCCUCAGGAUUCUCAUAUUGUUACAAAAUGCAACCCUGGAGUCUACAUUUUCAUAUCUUACUGAAAUCUAAGCUAUACAUGAAUAAAAGAUUGGAAAUAUAAAUAUAACAAGUGAUGAAUUAUUAGUUUAUCAGGAUCCAAGUGAAGAAAGAAGAUAUUAUAACCUAAAGAAGUCACAGAGUAACAAGAAUGAAAAAUUUAGAUAAUUUGCUUUAAAUACAUAUGUUACAUUUCCUUCUGUAUGAAAUCAGUUUAUUCUGCUCAAUGCUUAGCAGAUGAAAGUGUUCCUUAGCACUUGACUUGACCAUGACAAGAAAAGGACAAGCUUUCAUCAGCAGCGUGUGUGUGGAUUUGUAUCAGUAACACAGGUACUUUCACAGGCUACGUUUUUACAAAUUAUUGAUAUAUUCUAGGGACCUCUCCUUCAAUGUGCUACUCUCUAGAGAUAAGAAAUUAGUGUGGUGUGUUACCAAGGACCAAUACAGAAAGUGUACACAUCUGCACUGUGAUCCAUGAGGCUCUGUGAGGGCUCUAUGAGGGCUCUGCCCUCAAACACAUGUCCCUUACGCACACGCCCAAACGGCGUUGGAGAGGCUGCCCUGCAGAGCUCUUGUGCAGUUCUAGGAAAAUGGACCAGGAGCUUGGCCUCUGUUGCUGUUUUUCCCUAGGGCCUCUUUUGAAUAACAGUGUUUUUCUGAAUAAUAUAACCAAACUUCUGGACUAGAGGCCAGAUAUGAACCUUGAUCUUCAAAAAUGUGGGUUUGGUGUCUUUGUCUUUAUAGACACUUGUACAUGUGACAAAAAAAAAAAAAAUCACCAGGUGUGGGGAAAUGCCAACCAUACUUUGAGAGAUGAAGUAAUAUGAGCAAUCAUGCCUACUUGCAUAGGGAAACUGGCAUAAAAAGCCAGUGAUUCCAUAGGCUCUUUUCCUGCACUCCCCAGUGCAGUUAAUACCUCAUUUUCAAAAACAGCAAAAUCAUGGCAACAUUACAAAAUGAUCAUGUCCUUAGAUUAGAUUGUAAGCCCACCGGGCAGGUACUGUGUCUAAUGUUUUGUGUGGCGCCUCUCGCAUUGUUAGAGCUCAAUAAACAUUAAACAAUAACGUCUUGUGACUGUCAAAAUACAAAAAGCUUCUACACGGCAUUUCUCUAUUUUUAUACCUAUUUUAGUAGGUCUUUCUUCACCAGAAUUAUUGGAUGAGGGGUAUAGAUUGAUGUUUCUAAUGCAAAGAGGUGUCUGCACGUGAGAGAAGCCUAAGGCCCGUGUUCUGCAGUUUCUGGCACUGCCUGUAGUUCUAACAGGUGUGUUUGUGGUGGCCAUGAGUGAGCGUCCAACUAUAGCUUCCUCCCAGACACCUAACGGUGUCCAGUUCCCAGAGUUCUGAAGUUUCGGAAGAACCUCCGUCUCCCCUGAGAACAGUGCCCUUCCCAAGCACAUAGCUGCUAACAGCCUACACAGUGUCUCCUGGGUGAUGUGCCCCCCAGCACAUGAGGCCUCCCGAUGGCAGCCUGUGUGCCAGGCUGGGAUCUGGUGGCUCUGGGCUCAGUGCUGCUCAGUGACUUGUCACUCAGAAUCAUAGGGACAACUUUAUAGAGCCCAGAAAUUUCUGCAAAAUUCAAUGAUGUGACACUGGCCCCUAAUCAUCUUUCUUACCUUUUUAAAUUCUCACCUUAAGUAAAUCUAAAAGAUAUGCUUUGAUUUUUUUUUUAAUGGAUGAUUAGAAUGGAAAAUGAGGGGGAAAAAAAAGCAAAGAAUGGUUCAAUUUUAAUAGCUCCUUUUUCUUAUAUUUAUAGAGAUAGUCCUAAAAGUCAUGGUCUCAGUUCCAGAAAGGAGCUGAAAGAGUAUCGUGUGUCCACAUAAGUAUUAUAGGCCAAAACUAACAUGAACACUGGCUGAUACAAUGUAAGUAGUUAAUCCAGAACUGUGUCAUUUUUUAGGGUUUUCUGAGCAGCACAGUUGAGGGAUUAAAAACACUGAAUCUGGAGCCAGACCACCAGUGUCAGAACCCAGCUCCACCAGCAGUAGGACCUUUGAUUAGGAUCUAGUCUGUGGCCUCCGGUUACCUUGUCACACUGGGCACUGGUGGAUGAACCCAGAGAUUCCUGCUGCUGCCCUUAGCUCUGCUGUCCACCCUGCUCUUCCCAGAACCACCUGGCUGGAGCCACAGGGGCCCAUCUGCAAGCCUAGCCCUCACCAGCAGUUGGGCUUGUGCCAGGCCGGACUCUUGAAAAUAUCCCACAUAAUCUUUGCACAAGCAAGAAAUAAGUCUUUACUGUGUUAAGCCACUGAGUAUUUGUCUCUCCAGCGGAGCACACAGCCUAUCCUCACACAAAUGCAUGAACGCUUGACAUACUGACAAAGAGAGUGUAAAAGCAUUGGAGCCCAAGGCGAUGGUUACUGCUUGCUUCUUUUGAACAACCACCUCAUUCCUCAAAAGGAUGUAAGGGAGUACUGGCUGUCAUUCUGCCAACCUGACUUUACACAUCAGGUGUCUAACUCUACAAAUGAAGUGUUUGUAAAUUACCACGUAUUUUAAUGAACUCUACUGUAAAUCUUAUAGUAAAAAUGAAUAAUCAUGUUCUGAUAAUCUCUAGUAAUUCAAAUUUUCAUAUAUCACUUUGCUGAAAGGAUCUUGCUUAAGGAUCUAAUAUCUAUAAAAGGAAGAGAAACUUAGAUGUUACUAGCUUAGAAAUGAAGACCUUAACAGAGUACCUGCCCAGCCAGCAUUGCUUCACCUCGACCACCUCUGCUGUGAAUGGAAGGGAGGUGUCUCAGAUGUCCUUGUGCCUGGAUCUCUUGGUAAAUUACACCCUGAGGCUGUUGUGUGUUGCCUCAAACAGCAGUAUGUCUCCAGCCUCCCCUUGGGGCAGUAAAUGCACUGGUACCUCUGAAUGAGAUGUCCAGAUGCUCAAAACGCCAGGCUGUUAACAGCCCCAGACAAACCAUACACUCCACCCACUAAUGGAGCAUCUGAUGGGAACAGCCAGUGUGAAGUUCCAGAAAGCACAGCCAGGCCGAUGGAAGCAGACAUACUCAGCCAGAAACAGACCAUCUCUGCCACUGUAAGUGAGGCAUGACCAGUGCACAGAAUCAGCACGGUCAUAUGGGCUGCCCCAAGUGCUCCAGGACACAGAGGCAUGGUCCCAUUCAGUAGCCAGCAAAUAUGAGUGAGCCCUGUGAGUUUGGCAACAGGUUACAAUUAAC